RNAcentral lists this ribosomal RNA (542 nucleotides) under bacterium PE03-7G9. RNAcentral's name for it is "bacterial SSU rRNA". It matches the Rfam family "Bacterial small subunit ribosomal RNA", at positions 340 to 880 of the family's 1533-position model. The record is from RNAcentral.
UACGGGAGGCAGCAGUAAGGAAUAUUGGUCAAUGGACGCAAGUCUGAACCAGCCAUGCCGCGUGGAGGAUGAAGGCCCUCUGGGUUGUAAACUUCUUUUCUUUGGUACUGAAACCCCUGUUUCUACGGGGACUGACGGUACCAGAGGAAUAAGCACCGGCUAACUCCGUGCCAGCAGCCGCGGUAAUACGGAGGGUGCAAGCGUUAUCCGGAUUCACUGGGUUUAAAGGGAGCGUAGGUGGGCUUUUAAGUCAGUGGUGAAAUCUUUGGGCUUAACCCGAAAACUGCCAUUGAUACUAUUAGUCUUGAAUUCUCUGGAGGUAAGCGGAAUAUGUCAUGUAGCGGUGAAAUGCUUAGAUAUGACAUAGAACACCCAUUGCGAAGGCAGUCUUACUACGGAGACAUUGACACUGAGGCUCGAAAGCGUGGGGAUCAAACAGGAUUAGAUACCCUGGUAGUCCACGCCCUAAACGAUGAUUACUCGACAUUAGCGAUAUUACAGUUAGUGUCUAAGCGAAAGCAUUAAGUAAUCCACCUGGGAAG